UACGUAGGAGACGAGCGUUGUCCGGAAUUACUGGGCGUAAAGCGCGUGUAGGCGGAUGAGCAAGUCUGCUGUGAAAGCUCCUGGCUUAACCGGGAGUGGUCGGUGGAAACUGCUCGUCUGGAGGACGGUAGAGGUAGGUAGAAUUCCCGGUGUAGUGGUGAAUGCGUAGAGAUCGGGAGGAAUACCUGUGGCGAAGGCGGCCUACUGGGCCGGACCUGACGCUGAGACGCGAAGGCG
This 237-nucleotide ribosomal RNA is filed under the name uncultured bacterium. RNAcentral's name for it is "partial 16S ribosomal RNA". It matches the Rfam family "Bacterial small subunit ribosomal RNA", at positions 524 to 761 of the family's 1533-position model. The record is from RNAcentral.